RNAcentral lists this ribosomal RNA (497 nucleotides) under uncultured bacterium. RNAcentral describes it as "partial 16S ribosomal RNA". It matches the Rfam family "Bacterial small subunit ribosomal RNA", at positions 28 to 507 of the family's 1533-position model. The record is from RNAcentral.
GAUGAACGCUGGCGGCGUGCCUAAUACAUGCAAGUCGAACGAACAGACGCGGAGCUUGCUCCUCUCACGUUUGCCGCGGGCGUGUGAGUAACACGUGUAUAACCUACCUAUAAUACUGGUAUAACUUCGGGACACCGGCUCUAAUACCGGAGAAUCUAUUGAACCACAUGGGUCAAUAGUGAGAUACGGUUUUUCUGUCACUUAUAGCUGGUUCCGGGCCGCAUGGUCUAGUUGGUAAGUUAACGGGUUACCAAGGCAACGAUGCGUAGCCGACCUGAGAGGGGGGUAGGCCACAUGGGAACUGGGACACGGACAUGACGCCUACGGGAGGGAGCAGUAGGGAAUCUUCCGCAAUGGGCGAAAGCAUGACGGAGCAACGCCGCGUGAGUGAUGAAGGUGUUCGGAUCGUAAAACUCUGUUAUUAGGGAAGAACAAAUGUGUAAGUAACUAUGCACGGAUUGACGGUACCUAAUAAGAAAGCAACGGCUAACUACGUG